Molecule: ribosomal RNA, 1010 nt
Filed under: Bacteroides faecis
Lineage: Bacteria; Pseudomonadati; Bacteroidota; Bacteroidia; Bacteroidales; Bacteroidaceae
Description: bacterial SSU rRNA
Rfam family: Bacterial small subunit ribosomal RNA
Source: RNAcentral
GAAUUUCGGUUAUCGAUGGGGAUGCGUUCCAUUAGGCAGUUGGUGGGGUAACGGCCCACCAAACCUUCGAUGGAUAGGGGUUCUGAGAGGAAGGUCCCCCACAUUGGAACUGAGACACGGUCCAAACUCCUACGGGAGGCAGCAGUGAGGAAUAUUGGUCAAUGGGCGAGAGUCUGAACCAGCCAAGUAGCGUGAAGGAUGACUGCCCUAUGGGUUGUAAACUUCUUUUAUAUGGGAAUAAAGUUUUCCACGUGUGGAAUUUUGUAUGUACCAUAUGAAUAAGGAUCGGCUAACUCCGUGCCAGCAGCCGCGGUAAUACGGAGGAUCCGAGCGUUAUCCGGAUUUAUUGGGUUUAAAGGGAGCGUAGGUGGACAGUUAAGUCAGUUGUGAAAGUUUGCGGCUCAACCGUAAAAUUGCAGUUGAUACUGGCUGUCUUGAGUACAGUAGAGGUGGGCGGAAUUCGUGGUGUAGCGGUGAAAUGCUUAGAUAUCACGAAGAACUCCGAUUGCGAAGGCAGCUCACUGGACUGCAACUGACACUGAUGCUCGAAAGUGUGGGUAUCAAACAGGAUUAGAUACCCUGGUAGUCCACACAGUAAACGAUGAAUACUCGCUGUUUGCGAUAUACAGUAAGCGGCCAAGCGAAAGCAUUAAGUAUUCCACCUGGGGAGUACGCCGGCAACGGUGAAACUCAAAGGAAUUGACGGGGGCCCGCACAAGCGGAGGAACAUGUGGUUUAAUUCGAUGAUACGCGAGGAACCUUACCCGGGCUUAAAUUGCAUUUGAAUAUAUUGGAAACAGUAUAGCCGUAAGGCAAAUGUGAAGGUGCUGCAUGGUUGUCGUCAGCUCGUGCCGUGAGGUGUCGGCUUAAGUGCCAUAACGAGCGCAACCCUUAUCUUUAGUUACUAACAGGUCAUGCUGAGGACUCUGGAGAGACUGCCGUCGUAAGAUGUGAGGAAGGUGGGGAUGACGUCAAAUCAGCACGGCCCUUACGUCCGGGGCUACACACGU